GCAAAAGGUGUCUUGCAUGGUAAG
This 24-nucleotide non-coding RNA is filed under the name Arabidopsis thaliana (thale cress). Lineage: Eukaryota; Viridiplantae; Streptophyta; Magnoliopsida; Brassicales; Brassicaceae. The record is from RNAcentral.